Molecule: ribosomal RNA, 551 nt
Filed under: uncultured bacterium
Lineage: Bacteria
Description: partial 16S ribosomal RNA
Rfam family: Bacterial small subunit ribosomal RNA
Source: RNAcentral
UGGGGAAUUUUGGACAAUGGGCGAAAGCCUGAUCCAGCAAUGCCGCGUGUGUGAAGAAGGCCUUCGGGUUGUAAAGCACUUUUGUCCGGAAAGAAAUCCUCUGGGUUAAUACCUCGGGGGGAUGACGGUGCCGGAAGAAUAAGCACCGGCUAACUACGUGCCAGCAGCCGCGGUAAUACGUAGGGUGCAAGCGUUAAUCGGAAUUACUGGGCGUAAAGCGUGCGCAGGCGGUUUUGUAAGACGGAUGUGAAAUCCCCGGGCUUAACCUGGGAACUGCAUUCGUGACUGCAAGGCUAGAGUAUGGCAGAGGGGGGUAGAAUUCCACGUGUAGCAGUGAAAUGCGUAGAGAUGUGGAGGAAUACCGAUGGCGAAGGCAGCCCCCUGGGCCAAUACUGACGCUCAUGCACGAAAGCGUGGGGAGCAAACAGGAUUAGAUACCCUGGUAGUCCACGCCCUAAACGAUGUCAACUAGUUGUUGGGGAUUCAUUUCCUUAGUAACGUAGCUAACGCGUGAAGUUGACCGCCUGGGGAGUACGGUCGCAAGAUUAAAA